Pogoniulus pusillus (Red-fronted tinkerbird) is the source of this 364-nucleotide long non-coding RNA. RefSeq lists it as uncharacterized. The transcript is spliced from 2 exons. NCBI's taxonomy places the organism in Eukaryota, Metazoa, Chordata, Aves, Piciformes, Lybiidae. The record is from RefSeq and is a predicted model, not a curated record.
AGUUGGAAGAAUUGAAGCCACCGGUUUCACAGGCCUUCAGUGGCCUCCUGUCCUUUGACUGGAAUCUUUCCUUCUCCAACCUGGGCUGCACAUAGGGCAGAGGAAGAUUUACAAUGAGCAAAUUCCCCCUCUGAAGCCUUUGGGAGCGGACAGCAUGUAUGCAAUUUCAUCACCUUGUUCUGCAAUUAGUGGGUGAUCCAGAUGGCAACAUGAAACAGUAAUGCAAAGAUCCACUGCUCCUAAUUGCUGUCACAGCAGACAUGGGUAAUUAGUUCUAAGCUCUUGAGGGAAAAGAAGCUCUUCCAAAAACUGUCUUCUAAUGUGCUGUGGUCUUCAAUAAAAUAAAUCUGGUCUCAAAAUUUUA